This 308-nucleotide long non-coding RNA is filed under the name Vitis vinifera (wine grape). RNAcentral's name for it is "long non-coding RNA (VVIN_LNC002493)". The record is from RNAcentral. Lineage: Eukaryota; Viridiplantae; Streptophyta; Magnoliopsida; Vitales; Vitaceae.
AGGCCAAGAAGAAGAGGUGUAUUUCGUGUCAAAAUGCGUUUAAUGUAAGAAUUGUUUCUAACUCGUGAGAACUAUUUGUUUGUGUCAUAUGUAAGAUGCUUAGAAUCUCAACUUGAGAAUGAUUCACAUGCUUCUAGAAUUCAAUGAUUCACAUGCAUGAAUUAUGUUCCAAUGGAGCACUAGAGGAAGUUUCUCUUCAUACGCCGCCUCUCACACGUGUUUAGACUAUAUAGAGGUGAAUGAAGGGUAAAAUAAAAAAUAAAUAAAAGAAAAAAAGCCUUUAUAAGAUUCCGUUUGGCAGGUUUUAG